Molecule: ribosomal RNA, 499 nt
Filed under: uncultured bacterium
Lineage: Bacteria
Description: bacterial SSU rRNA
Rfam family: Bacterial small subunit ribosomal RNA
Source: RNAcentral
GAUGAACGCUGGCGGCAUGCCUAAGACAUGCAAGUCGAACGAGGUGGCCUUUUAAAGACUGCGUACUUGUACAAAGUUGGAUAGAGAUUCUCCACCUAGUGGCAGACGGGUGAGUAACACGUAAGUAAUCUACCGUAAAGACUGGGAUAACGUUUGGAAACGGACGCUAAUACCGGAUAACUCAUAUUUAGAUAACUAGAUAUGCUAAAAGGAGCUUCGGCUUCGCUUUACGAUGAGCUUGCGGCGUAUUAACUAGUUGGUGAGGUAAUGGCUCACCAAGGUGACGAUGCGUAGCCGAACUGAGAGGUUGAUCGGCCACAUUGGGACUGAGACACGGCCCAAAACUCCUACGGGAGGCAGCAGUUAGGAAUAUUCGUCAAUGGAGGAAACUCUGAACGAGCAAUGCCGCGUGAGUGAUGACGGUCUUUAUGAUUGUAAAACUCUGUUGUUAGGGAAGAAACCUUAUCAUAGGUAAUGAUGAUAAGCUGACGGUACCUUU